RNAcentral lists this ribosomal RNA (419 nucleotides) under Uroplatus fimbriatus (common flat-tail gecko). RNAcentral describes it as "partial small subunit ribosomal RNA". It matches the Rfam family "Bacterial small subunit ribosomal RNA", at positions 775 to 1405 of the family's 1533-position model. Lineage: Eukaryota; Metazoa; Chordata; Lepidosauria; Squamata; Gekkonidae. The record is from RNAcentral.
GGAUUAGAUACCCCACUAUGCUUAGCCGUAAACCAGCGAAAAAUCCCGCUCGCCAGAGAACUACAAGCAGCAGCUUAAAACUCAAAAGACUUGACAGUAUUUCACACCGACCUAGAGGAGCCUGUCCUACAAUCGAUAACCCACGCUAAACCUCACCCACCUUUGCAUAAACAGUCUAUAUACCUCCGUCGCCAGCCCGCCUGAAAACAGACACAAAGCGGGUAUAAUAGCCCAUCGCUAAUACGACAGGUCAAGGUGUAACUAAUAGGUCGGGCAGAGAUGGGCUACAUUUUCUAAAAUUGAACAUACCAACCUCACUAUGAAACUUGUGAUAAAAGGUGGAUUUAGCAGUAAGUAAGGACAAGAAAAGCCCAACUGAAACGCGCCCUGAAAUGUGUACACACCGCCCGUCACCCUCA